AUCCAGAUGACGAGUCCUAAAUGGGACGAAACCCGCGUGUUGGAU
Molecule: non-coding RNA, 45 nt
Filed under: Schistosoma mansoni
Lineage: Eukaryota; Metazoa; Platyhelminthes; Trematoda; Strigeidida; Schistosomatidae
Source: RNAcentral